AUUAUACCAUAGCUCCCCAAUUGCCGGCUCAAUAGUACUUGCAGCAAUCUUGCUAAAACUAGGUAGCUAUGGCAUGAUACGAGUUAUUCCGACUCUUAACCCCUUAACAGAAAAAAUAAGCUACCCCUUCCUUAUCUUAUCCCUAUGAGGCAUGGUUAUAACAAGCUCUAUCUGCUUACGACAAGCCGACCUAAAAU
This is a long non-coding RNA of Sapajus apella (tufted capuchin), 197 nucleotides long. RefSeq lists it as uncharacterized. Lineage: Eukaryota; Metazoa; Chordata; Mammalia; Primates; Cebidae. The record is from RefSeq and is a predicted model, not a curated record. The transcript has 3 exons.